GACGAACGCUGGCGGCGUGCUUAACACAUGCAAGUCGAGCGGUAAGGCCUUUCGGGGUACACGAGCGGCGAACGGGUGCGUAACACGUGGGUGAUCUGCCCUUCACUUCGGGAUAAGCCUGGGUAACUGGGUCUAAUACCGGAUAUGACCUCCUAUCGCAUGGUGGGUGGUGGAAAGAUUUAUCGGUGCAGGAUGGGCCCGCGGCCUAUCAGCUUGUUGGUGGGGUAAUGGCCUACCAAGGCGACGACGGGUAGCCGACCUGAGAGGGUGACCGGCCACACUGGGACUGAGACACGGCCCAGACUCCUACGGGAGGCAGCAGUGGGGAAUAUUGCACAAUGGGCGAAAGCCUGAUGCAGCGACGCCGCGUGAGGGAUGACGGCCUUCGGGUUGUAAACCUCUUUCGGCAGGGACGAAGCGCAAGUGACGGUACCUGCAGAAGAAGCACCGGCUAACUACGUG
This 462-nucleotide ribosomal RNA is filed under the name uncultured bacterium. Its description in RNAcentral is "partial 16S ribosomal RNA". It matches the Rfam family "Bacterial small subunit ribosomal RNA", at positions 28 to 507 of the family's 1533-position model. The record is from RNAcentral.